AAUUAACAGACAUUGUCCUUUUUAAUUGCAAUUCACUUAAAAUGUGACAUUCCUACUGAAAAUUAAUGAGGAAUGAUAUGGACCCCGGCUGAACCACAUGCCAUGGUGCUACCGUUUUCAUCAGUACCGCGCACAUUCUGUGGGCGAUAUGUCUCACGGUUGACAACUGGAGCGAUGCCAAUGCCCCGUUGCUGCACAACUCCUGGCUUGUUUUGGCAGGGGAUAAUUUAGUGUGCAAAGAACCAGUGUCGCCGGACACUAGUGGCAGAUCCACAUUUUUUCAGCCUGGUGCAUUGAGGCCGGUCUGCUCAUUACUCCAUGUUUCGCAGCAGCCCAGCUAGAUAUGGAGAAUAUCUGCUUUCACAUUCUUGAGGGUCGCGAUACAGAGAGUUCAGUACCUGGAUGAAUGAUUAUUGAAUCCUUUAAACACACUUUCAAAUGUAC
This 444-nucleotide small RNA is filed under the name Histoplasma capsulatum. Its description in RNAcentral is "hypothetical RNA". The record is from RNAcentral. Lineage: Eukaryota; Fungi; Ascomycota; Eurotiomycetes; Onygenales; Ajellomycetaceae. RNAcentral also lists the same sequence under 1 other name.